This 912-nucleotide long non-coding RNA is filed under the name Homo sapiens (human). RNAcentral describes it as "HSALNT0135582". Lineage: Eukaryota; Metazoa; Chordata; Mammalia; Primates; Hominidae. The record is from RNAcentral.
CAGGGUUUUGCUCUCUUGCCCAGGCUAGAGUGCAGUGGCAGGAUCACAGCUCACUGCAGCCUCAUCCUCCCCAGGCUCAGGUGCCCCUCCCACCUCAGCCUCCUAAGUAGCUGGGAUUACAGAUGUGCACUACCAUGCCUGGCUAAUUUUUCCAUUUUUUGUAGAGAUGGGGUUUUUCCAUGUUCCCCAGGCUACUCUCAAACUCCUGGACGGGGAGAUAUGUCCACCUUGGCCUCCCAAAGUGCUGGGAUAACAGGCAUGAGCCACCAUGCCUGACUUAUGUAUUUCUUGAAUGGAUGAUGACAGACAUAGAAAUCACUACAAUAGAAAUAUUUUUUAAGGUUUUAUUUAACAAUGCUAAUGCUUACAAUCCACAUGAAAUCCUUUGUAACUAAACUUACAAUGAUAAAUUCAUGCAAACAAAAUUUUGAAGACUGUUAAUUUAGAUCAAUGUCUUUCAAAUGUUUUAGCCACAACUCACAUAAGAAAUACAUUUUGCAAUGACCCAGUAUACACAUGAUUUAUACUUGAAGCAAAAGAUUUAUUAAACAUUCUGCACUUUGUAUUAUGUCUUUUUUUCAUGCCAUUAGUGACAUACUAAAUUGAUUUGGUGACCCUAGCAAUAUGAAACGCUUAUGUAACAUGCUUUCAAAUGCCAGUGGUCUGGGGAUUGAACCCCUGAGUGGCACCUACAUUUUUUUUUAAGUCACCUGGUUUUUCUCUGUUACCCAGGCCGUACUUGAACUCCUGGGGUCAAAGGAUCCUCCACCCUCAGCCUCCCAAGUAGCUAGGACUACCAGUUCAUGCUACUGUGCUAACUUGGCACUUAUAUUUUAAAAGUCGUGAACGAUUUUAGCUAGAGAAGUUUCAGGGUAGGGGCAGCAUCCACAUUGUAAUGGAUUGAGGAAUGGA